AUAAACCCCCCAAAAAACAAACCAAAAAAAACCUUUCUGUUUUGUUCCCUCCCAACAGCCCUGCUGUUCCCUGGAAUUGGCACUCGGGCAUCCCUCCUUUUUCUUCUCCCCUCCCAUAACCCCCACGGAAAAGUGGGAGAAAUCAGGAAGAAAGAGGAAGUCAUGAAAUCAAGUCAUUAAUUAGUGGGACCUCACUGUAAAAUCCUGUAGAUGUGGGGGCUUUCCCGGACACUUGAUGCAGCAAUAUCCAUCUGAAAACUGGAAUGCAUAGUUGAAAUUUAACAAACUGCAGCCAAUGAUCCGGGAGAGCAGGAACUGUGGUGGCUCUCACUGGGCAGGGGGCAGUCCACCCACGCCUCUCCCCAGUGACUCAGGAAUUCAGGGAGCAGAGCCAAGAACCAAGCAGGACAUUGAUAGGCGCAUGUAGUUGGAACCCCAAGUCUGGGCCCUUUUCUCCCUGGAACUCAAUGAACUCAAUGCCCAGCCACCCCGUAGUCAAAGAAACAUGGAUAAAAUGCAAUCGGAAAAGUAAAAACGGCAACAGAGCUGUGGUUGGGGGAUAGAAAAGAAAGCUAAAUCAUACCACACUGGAAGCAUUUUCAAAGGGGAAAACCGUGAGCCCAAAUGCCGAGGAGGCCGAAUUUUCUCUAUCAAAAUGCAUUUUGUGGGGGAAGGGAGGGAAACUCAGACUUCCCAGCAGCAUGGCAGGUCUUGGCACCCACCUCGGUUCCCCUGCUGAACUUCCACAAAUAAACAUUCAAAGCAAAAGGGACAGAUUUGCUUCUCAGCAAGAUUUCAAAGCCGUGCGCCAGAGUUGGAGAGAAAACAGGAAGGAUGCCCACCUAGGUCACCAAUCUGUGUGUGCAUACUUGCAAGUGAGCAUGGCAAUAGUGUGAAAAUGAGCGUACCCCAGGCAGAAAGGACCAGGAGGGGUAUCCAGUCCUGAUGUUCAACGACCAUGAGCAACAACAAAGAGGCGAGCUCCCAUGUUGGCCAGUGCCCAGAAAGAAUGUUGCCAUCAUGAUGGACAGUUCUGGGGACAGUGCUGAUAAGAAGCCCUGAAGCUGGGUGGAGGUGGACAUACCUCCAGGAGCUAGAA
Callithrix jacchus (white-tufted-ear marmoset) is the source of this 1099-nucleotide long non-coding RNA. RefSeq lists it as uncharacterized. NCBI's taxonomy places the organism in Eukaryota, Metazoa, Chordata, Mammalia, Primates, Cebidae. The record is from RefSeq and is a predicted model, not a curated record.